This 253-nucleotide ribosomal RNA is filed under the name uncultured bacterium. RNAcentral's name for it is "partial 16S ribosomal RNA". It matches the Rfam family "Bacterial small subunit ribosomal RNA", at positions 524 to 776 of the family's 1533-position model. The record is from RNAcentral.
UACAGAGGGGGCAAGCGUUAUUCGGAAUUAUUGGGCGUAAAGCGCGCGUAGGCGGUUACUUAAGUCGGAUGUGAAAGCCCUCGGCUUAACUGAGGAAGUGCACCCGAAACUGAGUAGCUAGAGUACGAAAGAGGGUCGCGGAAUUCCCGGUGUAGAGGUGAAAUUCGUAGAUAUCGGGAGGAACACCGGUGGCGAAGGCGGCGACCUGGGUCGAGACUGACGCUGAGGCGCGAAAGCGUGGGGAGCAAACAGG